UACGUAGGGUGCAAGCGUUGUCCGGAAUUAUUGGGCGUAAAGAGCUCGUAGGUGGCCUGUCGCGUCGGCUGUGGAAACUCGGGGCUCAACUCCGAGCUUGCAGUCGAUACGGGCAGGCUAGAGUGCGGUAGGGGAGAUUGGAAUUCCUGGUGUAGCGGUGGAAUGCGCAGAUAUCAGGAGGAACACCGAUGGCGAAGGCAGAUCUCUGGGCCGUAACUGACGCUGAGGAGCGAAAGCAUGGGGAGCGAACAGG
RNAcentral lists this ribosomal RNA (253 nucleotides) under uncultured bacterium. RNAcentral describes it as "partial 16S ribosomal RNA". It matches the Rfam family "Bacterial small subunit ribosomal RNA", at positions 524 to 776 of the family's 1533-position model. The record is from RNAcentral.